RNAcentral lists this small RNA (80 nucleotides) under Flavobacterium micromati. RNAcentral's name for it is "Flavo-1 RNA". It matches the Rfam family "Flavo-1 RNA". The record is from Rfam by way of RNAcentral. Lineage: Bacteria; Pseudomonadati; Bacteroidota; Flavobacteriia; Flavobacteriales; Flavobacteriaceae.
GAUUCGCAUGAGGGAUAGCAGCGGCAUCCUUUUGCGGAGCGCUAGCGGAACAAAAGAUACAGCGGAUAGCCCGACCCGCA